UUCAAAGGCAGGCACAUUUUACUUAAGCUUCCAAUUUCACAAAUCUGCCUCUUUUUUCUUUUUUGUUUCCUUGCCUCUCUUUCUCCCCACUCCCCUCCAAUAUUUCUUCCUGCCAAAAAUUAUUUUGGGACUUGAAGUCAAACCAGACAGCUGUAGUCAGAUUGCUGAAAGCAUAUUUUGCUAUCAAAUGCUGCAUUACUGAAUCAUCUCACUCCAUUUUAGAGAUGUGAAAGUACGGAAUAUAUAUGUUUGGGAUAGAUUUAAAAAUUGUAACAUUUUUGGAAUGUGGUCUGAGAAAGUUUUGCAGUGUGCAUUUGGAAAGAUUCAGUGUUUCUGUGUGAAGACACUGUGGGUGAGUUAUGUAGGUCAUAUCCAAGAAGCCACGCAUUUCACACCACAGCUUGUAGAUGCCUGAUAUUUUACAGCAGCUUAUUCGUAAAAUAUUUUAGUAAGUUUUAAAGUUUUAUUGUUUCUAUUUCAGUCUCUGCCUGUAAAGCCAAGCUCCAUUAAUACUACAGUUCCAGCUAUAAAGAAUUCUGUGAGAGGAAGGGAACUUAUAAAUAAUGCAUUUAGAAACCUCUAAAAAGGAUCUUCAGAACUUUUGGCACUUGUUAAAGCAGCAUAUCUCAUGAUCAGUGACGGACACUUUUUUUUUUUUAACCAUAGACAGGUAGGAAGAGCUUCCUGUUUUCUUUAAUUAAAUUAAAUAUUUUGUUUGCAGCCUAGGCAGGUCAUUAGGCUUAUCAGUAGUUUUUAUUCUGAGCAGGCUAAUUCCAUGGAUGAGAAUCAUAGUUUAUUUUGGGGAGAGAAGAGUCAACUUGGGAAAGGGCAUCACCCUGUUCACAGGACUGGUAUCUGAGUCCUCUGUGCAUCCGAAACUACCACAGCUGGAUCCCAAGUUCCUAUCUGCUGGUACUCUGCAGGGCAUCAUCUGCAGCUCAAGGGCUGAAUCAAUCACCCGGUUUUAUGUAUUGCAGCCUAUAAUUGUAUAAUUUUUUGUGGAAAUCUUGGAGGGAAUACCCCAAGUUCAACAGUAGUACCUCCUCCCCAGGGACUUUCCCAGCAGGCUUUGUUGUUUUAAAUGGACUGCUGCUGGUUUAGUUAGCUCUGUUUUCCUAUGGAUGUUCCUCCUGGUCAAAGUGCUCAAUUCAAACAAUACAACGUCCUUUCUUGAACAGACUUCAAGGCAGGACCCUGUUUCUGUCAGGGGACACAGGAGAGAGAAGUCACACUGCUUUUUUUCUCUCUACUGUCUUUUUCCUCUUCUAGAAAAGAUCAACCACAAGGUUUCCCUCUUUUCAGUACCUGCAAGCAUAAGACUGUAACUUAGCCAUUUGGGAAUGAUUCCUUUGAAUCCAAUUCUUCCCCAGGGCAUCAUUGGGAAUUCUCACCCAAGACAGAUCUCUUAGAUAGGUGGAAGAGUGCUCACAGCAUGAAAAAUUACAUAAUUUUAUGCUUCCUUCUGCAUUAAAUCUAACACUUUAUGACUUUCACAAAACUCACUACUCAGAAACCAAAUUUAGGAGUUAUAAACAACUUUAAUAAAUAGGCUGUAAAAGAUGUAGAGUCCCAAUAAGUGAUAGUCUUUCUGAGCAAAAAUUGCCAGUGGUUGAAAAGUCUAUGGAAACAUGUGCUUAAAUCCCGUGCAGCUUCACAUUUAGAUCUAGAAGAUGUAGCUCAAUGUAGCUUGAAGAAUUUCAAGAAUUCCUGGCUGGCUUUCACCAAAGGAAAAACAAAUCUUGACUUCUUUUGUCUCCUUCCCUUUCUUUUAUUGUAGACAUUCUAAAUGCUUUUCUUACUUUUUUUCAUCUUGCGCAGUUUUGAAGCAUUUCAAAUUCUUUUCUCUGUUGCAUUCCCAUAAAUGCUAAACAGUUCCUGUCAUUUGCACAAGGUAUAGGCAAAACAGAAUGAAAUUCAAUGCAAUAUUCAAUAAAUAACUUUGUUUGACAGUGGCUACUGUCAACAAACCUGAUGAUCUUGAAGGGGAAAGCUGGAGACUGGACAAACAGAUAAAAAAGGAAGGGAACUGAACACUCUCCCAAAUUCUGUGGUUGUUAAAUAGAUUGGCACAAGUACCAAGUUUCUUUUUUUGGUGAAGUUCCUGAAUUGCAGCUCAAGAGUUUUAAGCCAGGCCCUGCAAUUUCUGUCUUUGGAAUGUGCUUUGUUCUCUGGUGGGUUCCUGAGGUGAUGCACCCACUGCUAGGCUGGACUUUAAAGUUGUAAUCCGGUCUUUGUGGGAUCAAAGGCAACCCAUCAAAAUCAAACUCUUGAGGAUAAGUUCCUUGUUCUGCAUCUUGCCACUUGCACUCCUGCCCACUGUAAAACCAUUUACCACAUGAUCAAAGUCUUUCCAUGUCAAGUGACAAAAACUGGAAACUCAAGUAGUGGGAUUGAGAGCCUAUAAAGAAAAGGUAAUUUAGGGUUUUUAACAGAAACAAUUUUAUUAUGUUGCCAAAGAAUUAAAAAAAUUACUCUUCUUGGAUCUGAUUUGAUUCUUGCUUGCCUAUGCUGGGAUGCUUUCGAGUAUUCCAGUUGGCCUGUCACUGAUUAUUAGUGGUUGAUUAAUGCAGCAGUAAAAUAUCUUUGAUGCUUUGCAAAGAACAUAUUAGUUGCAUAUUUUGUAUUAGAUACCUUUCACACUUCAGUCUUGAAUACUGUUAAAAUAAGUACUGAAAAGAAUUCUGUGUUUUCAAAGAAAUAGGAAUUGUCAUGGAUUUUUUGUCUUUGGUUUUAUGUAGCAGGUUUUAUUCAGUUAUAGCCGCAACUUUGCAAAUGGAUUGAAAUUUGUAAAGUAGUGAAAACCUAAGGUUUUUCAGAAUUGAAGACAUUUUUUCUUCAUAUCUAAUGCUUCUCUGGUCACCCAUGAUAGUGUUUUCAAUAUUGAAAGUGAUUCUAGUAUCAUUUUUCUGCAUAACUUUCUAUGUGAUUUUACCUGGCCAACCUUGUUUCUUCACUUCAUUUUCUCAAAGGGUUCAGAGAAUGUUGUGUGCUUUGAUGAAGGACAAAAUAGAUAAAUAUCUUAAACUGAUAAGCUCUUAAUAAAAUAAAAAAGAAGAAUAUACAAAAGGUGUAAAUCAUAUAAAUAACUCCUAGAGUUCUGUGUUUCAGUAUUACCUGGUGGAUAAUGGCAUUUCCCAGUGGUGCAUAUAUUCAAGGUAAUAAUCUGUCAUGUAUCAUCCAAAUGCUUUAAAGACUUUAAGAAUAGGUAAAAGACAACAGUAAUUUCCAGAUUAGUCAGAAUGGUGUUUUUUCCUUUAUCCUUGCAUUUAUAAAUUCUGUCAAGAAAGAGUUUCUCUGGUAAUUAGUUGUCCAAGGAAACAAUUCCAAGAAGAGGAAUCUUAUUUUAAAGCACUAAAAUUUGACAUGGAGGAAAUUAUUUAAUAAGAAUUUCUUUGAAGAUUAAUGCCAGAAUUGAAACCUUUCUGACAUUGUGGGAACCAUUUAUUCAUGUAAACAAAGAGGCGCAGGUAAGUGAUGUGUAGGGAUAUUGAGAUAUUUUAGAAGAACCCUCAGAAAAUGUGACUGGGUGAAGCUGAGGCUGAUUUUUGUUUGUUCCUUUGCUGGUUGUGGCCUUAUGUGAUUUCUUAUAUUGUUUCAAGCACAAUGGAACUUUUAAAAGCAAUCAGAUGUGGCCACCAUUAAAAGAAAUAUUGCCUCCAAAAGCAGAGUGGGAGGUUCAAGUAGCCUAGUUUAGCCACUGGUUUAUCCAUUUUCUAAGCAUUUGGUCUUGCCAAGGUUCUUGCCUAUCCUGAAUUAUUUACUCAGUCAGUGAACACCUUACUGAGGCAACAGAUGCCUAUAGAGAUGUGCCCUGAGCAAUCAGCUUUUAACUUUGUUGACUCCCUAAAGAGUCACGCUCAGAUGAUGACCUGGCUGUCAUCACUGUAAGGAAUGCACAGAAUACAGCAGGAAUCUGAGAUUGCCUCUGUUGGCCCAGAACUCCUGAUGUUCCCUGGCUGCAAAGGAGUAAAAGCAUUCAUCCAAGAGCUAAGGGUUAUGAGGUAAGGCCUAUCUUACCUAACCUAAAGGAGUCCUAGCCACCAACAUUUUUAUCUCAGGGGCAUCCCUGACUGCCUGGGGACCGCUGGUUUUCCUGAGGGAGGGCUCUCCCAUCUUCAAAGCUGGGCUGAUGUAAGGAUUUUCUUAAACAGGGAAGAGUAAAAAGCAGGUUUUUUCAAACUCAGUAAAGCUCUUAGAAAAGAUAGUUGGUUUAUUGAUUCUUCCCUUUUACCUGUGCUACCCUAUUCUUACAUCUGAGCACAAGGCCCUCACACCUGGUGGAGUUUGGAAGAAAUUCAAGGGCUGGAUUAGCUCAGAUCUCCAUACCCAUAAAAGAGAAUUAUUUCUUCUACAGGGUGACUACAGUGAAUGGCAGGCUCUGCAGCAACACAGAGAUCUUUUUGAAAUCAUUGCAUGUUCUCACUCACCCCUUCAGUACGUCCACCUGUAGAAAACAUCUUAGCCAUGAGUACACAGCACACUGUUUGUGAAAAGCCACAACUUUGCUAAAUUAAAGCAAAUUACUUUCAAAGCAUGCAAGGGCACUAAUUUUCAUUGAUUACUCAGUCAUGGCCAAGUUUCAAAUUUCAUCUGUUUUUACUGUAGUUCUUCUGGAAAAAAUUUGGUUAGAAUCACUCUCCCAUAACCUAAAAAUGGUUGCAGGGAUUUUGCUUUGACUGUAAGGGGAUAAGAAAACCUCUCUUUAGGCAUGGAAAACUUCAGCCUGAACAAUGAGUGAUUCAGAAGACUGUGGUUGUGGGGAAAAUGGACUUUUAAUUGGAUUCAUUUUGCUUAUGUAACCAUUUGGCCCUUACUAAGCAGCUAUUCUAACAAUAACUUUGCUUACCAAUGAUACGUAGUCUCUUCUGAACUAACGUAUCUAUAGCAAAAAAACGUGCCACAUAUAUAGGCCUGUGUUUGUAUGCAAAGUUGAAAGAUUUCCUGCAAAAAUUUGUGGAAGAAAACCCUUCCCAGAGACCUUUGUAGAAAGGCAUUGUUCUGGCUCAGGAAAUCCUCCAGCCACAAGUGGCUGGAACUUGGGAACAUAUUCUGAAAAAACUAGAUUUUCUGGCUUAGAUGGAGCUUUGAUCCAGUUUGCUCAGACUUGGGUGAACAAAACAACAGUAGCGUGAAGAGAAGCUUCCUGUGAGAAGAUUGCAUGUUUACUGCUUUGUCCUAAGUUCCAUGGAACAAAAACCCAGACUUCACCUUCCUGCUGUGGUUGCUGUCAUUGUAAAUAUCCUGAGAGUUUUUAGCACCCCACUUUGGAGUUAGACAGACAUGCCGGGUCUGUUCUCGGUGGGCUCCUGCACAGGAUGGCUGGAGAAAGUUCUUGACUUCUUGUGGCUUGGUGAAGACCAGGAGCUGGGAGUUGUUUCUUGGGUUUGGGCUUUUAAAUUAUUCAGACUGGUUAAUCCAGCUGGGUCAGCCCCAGGAUGAAGCUGAGCAGAAAGGCUUAGCACUGAAGUUCCUGUUAGGGAAAUACUGGAGGUGACAGAAGAGGCAAGCAAGUGGUGCUCUUAUUCUGGCUGGUCAUGCAAUGCUUUCCACUGACAUAGUCAAAUAGAUUAACCCACAGGUCUCAAUAAUUAGUUUGUAAAGAGCUACAGGAGAAGGGGCUGGUUUUUAAAUGUGGUAGUCUCUCACACCUCAGGGAACUCAUAAAUGUAAAUAUUAAACCAAUGUUAACAUUGAGACAACUGGAGUCAUUACUGUGGGCUCGUCAGCCUGACUGAACAAAAUGUUGGAAAUGUGACUCAAGAGGGACUUAAACAGCAAUAAAAUAAAAUGUCAGUUCACAAAGGUGAGAUUUGAGGUAAGGGAAAAGAUAUUAUAUUUACAAUAUAAUUUGGUAAAAAAGUUGUAUUCUUGCAUAUAUUGUAUCGUUUACAAUAUAAUUCAUGAAGUAAGUUCACAGCUUCAUCAAAACCUGUGAUAAGGUUGUGAAUUUACUUUUUAAUUAUUGCUGCAGUGAUACAAGAUGUCGGGUAUUUCACUUGUUUUUCCUGCCUGUUUUAGUUUUGAUAUAAACACAGUGUAAAACUCCUGUGAUCUCUAGUCAAUGAAAUUAACAGGAUCAGAUCUUGUAUCUGUGCAGUUUCUUACCUUUUAUCAAUGGCCUGAAGAGCAAGUUGCAGUUAACCAAGAGACCAGUGAAUGAAGAGCACCCAAGGGAAAUGUUCUGGCAAAAAGGGGUCAAUCAGAUACUUUUGGUUCUGGUAUAGCACUCUGUCCUGGUGCAAUGUCAGCCACAUUUGCCAUGGUACUCUGGAGUCCAAGAAAAGGGCUGGGAAUCAUGGUGACUAAUGGAUUAACAUUGACAUGACAUGAUAACAGUAUUGAUAAGUGACACUCAUUUCCUUCUGCUGAACUUAUCCUGCUGAGCACCAAAUAAAUCCAGAUUCAGUCAAAUGAGAAAUGUCUCUAAACUGCUCACUGGGGCAUUUAUCUUCCAAGGAAAUGCUUAUUGUAAAACACUGAAGCUUUAGAAACAGGCAAUAGCACAAGCACUUUUCACAGGGGAGAGGCUGCCUCUAAUGGCAUGAGAAGUAGAGCCAAGAGGGCUUUAAGAGGAGUAACUUCCUGUGUGCUAUAUUCAAUAAAAUAAAAGCUCUAGACACAACAGACAGUCCCAUGUAGGUAAAAAUAGCUUUCCAGUUUUAGGAAAACUGUGAUUGCACACCCAGGUUUGGAGCAUAGUGCCCAUGAAGAGAUCCUAAGCUCCCUGAGCAUUUUGACCAUUGCUACUUUCCAUACAAACUCUUUCCUUAUGGAUCACAAGGGUUAGGGAGUAUUAAUGCUGUACAGCAGCAAGUCUCACUAGGAAGGCAUUUCUGAAUUUCAGUAUGCAGGACAAAUGGUUGUCCCUGGCUGCCUGAAUGGGAGAGGUGUUAAGACAAUAAACUUUUGAGGUUGGUAGACAACUCCCAAAACUGCAAAGUGAUGAGGAAGGUUCAAUGAAUUAUGUUCUUGUAAAAUCAUGACCACCACCAAAAAUGGAUUUAGUUGAAAGCUCAAGUAAAAGAAUUUAUGUCUUUUUUAAGUCCUUAGUAAACCAGGAGGCAAAACAGUUCAACUUAAUGACAAAUCAAAACAUUUGAACUUUUGAAUUGUUUGAAGGUCCAAUUUUUUUUUGGCCAAAAAAUAUCAGUCAAAUCAAAGAAUUUUGACUGAUUUAAACAAACAUCUUUUAGAGAAAAGCAUUUCUUCAAAAAAAAGGUCAUGCUUUUUUAAUCAACAGAGCACUAUAAACAAGCCAAAUAAACUCACUAAUAUGUUAUGCAAAACUGUGUAAAGACCCCAUCAGAGAGUGAUAGUCCCUUUUGAGUAUCUGCUCCAUCUGUUUGAAAAUGUAAGCAAGAGCUUAGAUAUGAUAACAAACUGAGGAGUUUAAGGUCCUUCCCUUCCCUGCCCCACAAACAUUAUGAAGCUAGACAGUUUAAUCCAAGUGGUCUAGUAUCCAAGAGCUCAGAGCACAUCUACUGAUCUGCAAGAUUUCUGUAUUUUUGUUCUGGUUUUGUUUGUUGCCAUGGAGUCUAGUAGAAUAUUUAGAUGUGUGACCAUUGGACAGGAUGUUUGUGAUUGCAGCACGUGGCUGCUUGCCUUCUCCACGUGGAGCGGAGGCUGGGCCUGCCCUCCAGCCCUUCGGCUGUCUCUGGACCCUGGCUUAGGGCUUAGGUCCCAGUCUUCCACCAUGUUGAUCAGUCUAGUCCCAGCUGCAUUAGAAGGCUGAAUUCCAGUUUGUGCAUCACCAGCAGAGCUGCAGCACUGUGGACCAGCACGCCCAGCUGCACUGUGUGAUGUCUCAGUCACAAGAACCUGGCAGAGAUCAGGCAAGCAUAGAGUGGCUCCCAUGAUGAAACACAGCAAGAUCUCCCUCUUUCCUGCCUUCAGAACUGCCAUUCACAAAACUAGUCUCCAAACCUCCUGACAACCACAAUUAAAACAUUAUUUUAAAAUAAGCAACAAGUUAUUUCACAAUAAAAAUGUCAUCUUUGGAAAUAUGUUUCCUUUUGAUUAUACAUAGAGAGAUAAAAAUAUGGCAGAGUCCCAUAUUUGACAUUUCAAGCUGAAGGUAUUUACAUUAAGGAGGAAGAAGAAAAAGUAUUGCAUCUCCAUUCUGCUGUUUCUUCAGAUAUGCCAUCAGUUUAAGCACAGAGACAUCUCUUAAGGAACUGUCACUUACAUCAAUGUCUGUAAAAAUCAACAAAUGGAUCUGUCAAUUAUUUAGAAGUGUAGAUGCAGCAGCUGGUGAGCAGUUUGCUGUGUGGCAUUCCUCACGAAGAGAGGUGCCAGAAAUUUACUGCCAAAACACUUCAGCUAAGUGAUCUCAGAUGAAAAAAUGACAGCUUCUGCUAAUGAACAGUCAGUGCUGUGAGCAUAAACAUUCAUCAUAGUUCCAGAGUGGAAGGACUGUGGCAGUAUCUGGCUUUGCAAAAGCUUUUAUUUGCAUCUUGUGCAUAUUUAGCCCAGCUGUACUCUGUGGUGGUUCUGGAGCUGGAGUGUGUACCAUGAGAAGAAAGAGCAAAGGGCAUCUGCUGCCAAGGACACAGCUCAAAUGCCUUGGUGACCUCUCCUCAGAGUCUGAAUUUUUCUCCAGAGGCAGCUGCAGGAAGGCUUGCUGGAUCCACAGCUGCUGAGGAAGGCAGUGAAGAUCACAGGAGCCAUCCCACGUUCUGCUCCAGCCACAAGUAACUAGAGAUAUCUGGGAGAAGAGUACCACAGCCAGAACAGUGUUGUCCACUGGGGGCCUGGCAUCGGCCAUGACACAUGGUUGGCUGGUGAAUUGAGGAGAUUAAGUGCAUGGCUUCCACUGUCCCUCAACACAGGAGUUCAGGAAUCCUGGUAUCCUGGAUUUGUGACCACAGGAGCCUGUGAAUCAUGAAAGAACAUCUAAGCAGAGGACUCUGAGUACAAAUAAAAAUACGUCUUUGUGGAAAUUUAAUGUGAAGAUAAUUCACAGACAUCCAAGAUGUGCCUCUAAGAGGACAAAUGUGUUUCCUUCUGGGAAGUCUGCACCAGGGGUGCAUGAGUUUGCUCUCAGGACAUCAAGGCUGGAAGACACAGCUGGAAGAAGAUUUCAAGAUCCACCCCUGUGCAUUGGGACAAGGGUUGAUUCUGCUGUCACCAGGGGUGUGAAUCCCCAGCAGCCUCGCUGUCUUCCCUGGGGGCCCAGGUACAAGGUGGAGCAGAGCCUGCUUUUGUUGCUGGAGCAUCUUGUGAGUUCCAUAACCUGCAGAAAUGUUAAGGUCCACAGUAAUAAAUGGCUGAAAAGAAUUAAAAUGGCUGCACAGACCUUUACCACCUCAAACUAUUGAAAACUGAACAGAAAUCCACGAUUUUUCCAGUGUUGAAAUGUCUGCUCUGAAAAUAUUCCAAGUAUCCUCUCACAAGGUACUCUCUGGAAGAACAGAAAGAACAGGAGCAAAGGUUUGUACCUGUGUCUGACAUUUGUAUUCCUCCUGAAGUUCUUCCUCUGGAAUAUUGUGGGCAGCAAGAAAUGCUGGGACAAUUUUUAAAAGUCUAAGCUAAGGUAGUACAGGACUGCUGAAGUGAGAGGGGAAGGAGCUGAGCUGUUUGCAGGCACUGCUGAAGAGUUUACCAUGGUUUGCCUAGUAUGUUGAGUGUUCAUCAGUAUUUAAGAGCCCUCAAAUGCUUUUUGAUUUCCUAUACACCUACAGCACAAAGUUUUACACUAAUUUACAAAUGGUCAUGGAAGCUUCAAUGCAAACCUUGCAGUACUCAAGCAAAUUUUCAACUUGCUCAGAAAACAUCAUUAAUGCCAUUUACUGGUAGGAGUCAAACCUGGAGAAGAGCUGUACCUUCCCACCUGGCACAGGCAGAUAGCCCUGUUCUGAUGCACAGGGCAGGGCCAGCUGACUUUCCACAUCAACACCCCGUGUGACACGGUUGUUUUUUAAAAAAAAAACCCUCAGAACUGAUAUCUGGAGUUGGGAGAAAAUGUUUUGCUCUCUUUUUUCUUGCAAAUUUUGCUUCUUUUGUUUUCUGGCAUAUCACUGUAGUUUUCAAUGUUAAACAAUUUGUAAUUACAGUGAUUAUUAUGUCCAGGAUUUUGGAAGGGAAAUGGGGUUGUUUGUUCCUGUGUUAGCAGUGCUGAUCUCCCAGGAAUUGUGAGUGGAGUUGGGGACAAGGUUUGUGUGUGCUCUCUCACCAGAGUUAUGGGAAACAGCUGGGACUUAUGGAAGAUGGGAAGGUUGGGUCUCCCUCUGCUGUGUGGCUGUGCCUGGGGGCAGCCAUAGCACUCCCUCAGAUGUUACCAGGCCAUCACUGCUGUGUGUUUGGGCAGGGUGGUGAUUGCUUGUAGACUUCUGAUUGCUAUAAUGGAUGGGAAAAACCCCAAAUGUGUGCUAUGUUUUGCUAUCUGUUAAUUUGGUUUUCAGGGUUUUUUCCUGUUAGGUUUAUAUGUGUACCUGCAGAACUAAUGUGCUAAGCUGAUCUCUCCCAGCAAGGCUGAAAAGAAUCAAAGGGCAUCACUAAGUUCAGUGGAGAAGGAAAUUCCCCACUCCUGAGUCCAGACCUUCCUGGUUGCCCAGAAGAUGUGACAGUGAUAUUUUGAAGCCGCUAUCAGCUGCAUUCAGAGGGAGAUGACAAGCAGAGAGCACCUUACAUGCAAAUCCUUGUGUCUCUCAUGAACGGGUAUGUAAGAGUCGUGCAAAGACUUAGGCAUACCCUGUGUAGGGUUUUCAAGACAAACUCAUCUGGCCUACUUGCUUAGAAAUUGCCCCUAACAUUCAGGUAUUUGUUUAUUAAUCUGUUUGUGUAAAAAAUAAAGAAGAAAAAAGUAAGAAAGGAUAGCAAGAAAAAAAGAAGAGAAAAGGGAAAAGGGGGUUGGAAAAAAAAAAGAAGAAAACAACAAACAAACAAAAGAAAAAGGCAGUGGAGAUCUUGUUUCCAAAGAGCAGCAAGGUCAGACCCCAGCUGGGGUGCCUUGGGGCAGGCCCAAAGGAGCUGUGCCCUGCCUGGGGGAGGCCAGUAGAGACCUGCAACCCCUGGCCCUAGGGCACCUUGGGUACUGCCAUAACCCUCUCCCAAUUAAAACUGACAUGGGAUUUCUCAGAAUUCUACUGGGCUGAAAAUAUUUUGCUCAGACUAAACAUAUUAAACCAAUUACAGCAAAUUAGUCUACAUUCCCUGGUGACUUGAGCCCUGCUAAAAGGCAGCUAUGGUAGUUAUUAGCACGCUGCCUUUAGCUACUGCUUUGUGAAUGCCACAUUUCUUGCAAGUAAAAUACCUGAUCAGAGGUGGGUCACUCUGAUAAACAGGUAGUGGUUACUGGAUCCAAAGGACAUGUAUCAUGCUCCACCACAGACCAACAGAUGUUGGAACCCAGGACAUCUCUUUGGGUGCUUUGGAAAGCUCAAGAUCCUGGCAGGGGCUCGGAGACCCUGGCAAGAAGACAAAGACACUUGGGAUUUCGAUCUUAACCCAUGGAACAAAUUACCAACUUUGUAUGAAGAAUUACAAGUCACAAAAGUUUAAGCAGCAUAAUAGUAGUUGUCACAAGGUGAAAAAUAGAAUUUUGAGAUUUUUAGAAUGGGGGUUUGGAGUCCCAAAAUAGAAGAGUUUGGGCGAUCCCUGUCCUUCUUCUUUUUCCUUCCUAACCUCCAUGUUCUGAGUGAUGCUGGCACAUUUAGAUUGGCCUGAAGUAAAAGUAGAAGUCUAAAAAGUAAAAGUCUAACAUAGGUGACAAGUAUUGGAAAAUAACUGUCAAUAAAGUACACGUGUUUUUUUGUAUAAAGAGAUAGCACUGCCUCAGGGCAGAACAGGGCAGUGUGCCCUUGAGAGACCUGCAGAUCAGACCUCUGUGGGUCUGAGAGAAAAUAUUUUAGAUAAUAGACAACUUUGUGAACACUAGCCAAAGAAUCCUGACUCUUUCUUUGGCCGGUGGGCUGGGAAAAUGAGACUCUGGGAUCAUCCCGACAGCAGGAAACCCGAGAGUGACUGGAUCCAAGGGACGUGUGUCAUGCUCCAGCACAGACCAACAGAUGUGUCUCCCAGGGCCCCAGGGCUUUUCUGGAGGGGCACUGUAAGCAGGGCAGCUUAGGGCUGUGGGCUUUCCCCCAGGCACUGUCAAAUCCCGGGUGGAUGGAGGAGGUUGUGACACAGAGGCACCACUGACAGCUCCGCUAAUACAAGUGGGAAUAAGACUUACUGGGCCCUGCCCAAGUGGCUUUUGUAGGUCAGUGUUCUUCCCCUUGGAGGCUUCCUCCCUGUGGGAGAGGGAGUGGUGAAGGAUGGGUCUGGGCUAAUGUUUGUCAUGAUUUACUAUUGUCUGUCCUUUGAGGGCUGCAAACAUCUCCUGGGGACUGGAACUGCACUGCUGAGCACACGGAAAGUUUGAGUUUCCACAGGCUGCACAGGACAAGCCACAAGUUUUGAGUCUGUCAUCUGCUUUUCAGGAAGAGCAUUUCUUGUAAAGCCAGACUCACCAUGGAAUGCUGGAAAAUGCAGGGCACUUCAGCUGCUGGAGUCACCUUUGUCCCCAGGGAGCCUUUCACCUUGAGCUCCUUGCUCUGUAACAAAGAGGUCAGUUCCAAGCUAGCAUUUAACUGUUCAGAUGACAUGGCAGCAUGUCUCACACCACAUAUCAAGAUUAGUGCUGUGAAAUGGGCUGGAUUUGUUAUUUAUUUAUUUUUAAGAUGAUGAUACAAGUAAUUGUGUUAUUUUCUCUUGUAAUUUCAACUAGAGAAAAGGUUUUCCUAAUGUGACCAUAUAUAGAGAUUUCUUGAAAAGAGACCUACAAAGAAAAAUCAUCCAACCCUGGCAUGGCUCACAGACAGACUGACAGGCAGAAGAACCUCAAACCUACCUUGAGCUUCAUCUGAUCUAUCAUCCCUUCACCACUACGUCCUCAUGUGCUCCCCAGGACCAUCAUGAAUUCAGGCUUUCUCCUCAAAGCUCCUCUUCCCAUUUCUGCUGCUGAGCCACUGAGUACAAGUUUCAUGGCCAGACAGUGCCCUGUAGCAUCAAGGAGAGCUGCGAGGGAAAUGAAAGGCUCCAGUGCUGCAUUUCAGGAAUCAGGAAAGAAUCAGUAAUGAGAGGAUGGAACCCAAAUUACCUCUAAUCAUCUGAGAAUGGAGAUGAUUCUUUAAGGAUCUUCCAAAACCAGCUGAAGUGAAUACUUCUGGAGAGGUGCCUUGUCCCAACGAAAGAGCAGCCACAUCCCUGGUGCAUCAUUUAGGGCACAAUGGGACUUUGUGAGCCAGUUUUCCUGGGGACUGGCCCUGCCCCAGAGGAACUGCCUGCUACAAAGCUUCCCAGAUUCCUGUAUCCCAUGUACAGCAUAAAUUACAACUGGACACUUUUCCAUGUCACUUAUUUUCCCUCCGAGGCUCCUUUGGCAGCAUAUGCAAGGAGCACAAGGAUCCAGUGCUUGGCUGCCUCAGUGCUUCCCCUGUUUCAGGGCUUCUAGGAGAUCUGGGGAUGGGGAGCAGAGGCAAUGCUCCAGAUUACUUUGUCAUUGAAAAGCAGCAUCAUAAUGAUGAGCUACUGCCUAUCAGAGUCCCAGAGCCCUGCUACUGUACCUUGUAAAUCAGUUCCCCAGGUAAAUUUUCAGGAUCUUUCAGGAUCUUCCUUUUUCAGGAUGUCACUAUGGAGGAGGAGUUGGUGACUUCACUUGGAGAUCCACAUCACAGAAGGGACAGUGGUGUGGCCAGCUGCAUUAGCAAGGAGUGUCACACAGGUGAAGAACAAAAUACCCUGGUAAAUGUUUGUGGGGAAGUUUGCACAAACUGCCUUAAUUAAACUUCAGGCCACUACUUUAUCCUCUUGCUUUAUCAAGCAACUUAUUUUUAAAAAAUGAUUCUUCUUAUGAUACUUGGAUAUUGGGCUUUGGUUGUUUCAGCAAUAAUCUAUUUUCUGCUUUGGGAUUUUAAAUUAAAACCUUUUGCACUGUAGUCUCUCCACUUAGCAAGUGGAUUAUUGCCACUUAAAACAAUGAGGGGCAAGUAUUUCCCUUGUGCUACAGAAGGGUUUAAAAAAAUACAAAAGCAAUGGAAAUAUGCCAACUUUUGUUAACACAUUUGUGCAUAUCAAUGGUUUACAGGUGCAGGCACAUGAGAGGAGGGCUGGAAAAAAAGUGACAGCAUGAUUGAUUGCAUUUUCCUAUUUGUGAUUAUCUGUCCAUGUGACAUACAUAUAACAGUACAUGUGGCUAGCACAGACCUCCUGACUCAAUGUAUUUCACACAUAUCCAGCUCAAAAUCAAAACUAUGACUUCUUGCUUUUGCUUAUUUUGCUGAACUAAUAUAGAGGGAAAGGUGACCCAAGGAAAAUAAAAUUAAUAACACCAGAGAAAUCCAUUUUCACUCCAAACUCAUCAAGAACCAGACAGUUUUCUAAGACAUAGAGAAGAUGAGGGAAUUCUGUGGCUACCUGACCCUUUUCCCAUGAAUGCUGCCAUCUCCAUCAUCAAUCUUUUAACUUCUCUACCUAUUUUUGGAAACUUCUCACACUAAAUUUCCUGAAGUUGUUUCAGCUGGGGUAGAAUGAAUGAAAACUGAAUUAGGUCCAGCAUUUUGUCUUCUAUACUGGCAAUAUAUUUGGAGAAAGCACUGCUUAAAUCUUUUGUCUUGCUCAGAAAGAAGCACAUUGACCCUGCUACACAACCUGCCCAUGAAUAACCACAGUCUUUCAAUGCUACUUCCCCUUGCUACUGUCCUCUCCCUUCAGCACUUUUCUCAGGUUUAUAUAUCUUUUCUCAGGACUCAAGGAAGUAUUGAAGUCACUUUGAAAGAUGCUCUUUUGAUAAUAUUUCUGCCCCAAUGCAAGUUAAAAAAAAAAAAAACAGACAAAACUGAAAAAAGACAAAACAGAAAAGAAAAGGUGAAAGAUUGAGCUGGGAAUUUUGCCACUUAGAUUUUUGGCUUUAGAUGUAGAGUUCCUGUAAUUUUCUGAAGACUAGUCACACAAAAUCUCUCCUCUUUCAGGUCUUUUAGGUUUCUUGUGGCCUUGUUUUUAUACAGGAGCACUCAGACACAUGGAUGACUGUUACACUAUACAUUCUGACUGUUGAUGCCAUAAUUGCAUCAGCUCAUGGACAUGUUAUUUAAAGAGAGACCCUCAGUCUCCCAGUGGAUGUCAUUCUGACUCUGGGUAAUGGCAAUCCAGUGAUGUUAGAUUAUACCUGAUAUCAGAAUCUGGUCACUGACUUCAAAAUUUACUUGUCUUUGUCUCCAGUUUUGCAGUUCAUUUAUCAAAGGGAGGACAGAAGACACUGUACUCAAAGCUCCUGAGUCAACAAAUACCUUUUUUUUUUUCCAAAAUACACAUGAAAAAGCACUUUUUCAUAUUUUCUUUUACAUUUUAUUUAAUUUUAACUUAGUUUAAAUUAAAUUAAUGUAGAAUGAAUUUAAUAUAUUUUUUUUAUUUAUUACUUUUUUAAAAUUCCCCUCACAGCCUAUCAAGAAUUAUGUUGGACCCAUAACAUAGCUCUUGUUUCAUAUGAAGUAUGGAGAAUAAUAACUAUUUUAAGAAUAAAAAUGAUACUUGAACAAAAUUCUGUUACACAAUACUCCCCUGUUGGGGAAAGAAAAUAAACCAUAACCACGGUCUAUCCACUUACUUUUUCCAUUUCUAUUCUCCUUCUGUCUAAGGAACACUGUCAACAUUUUGAAGAGGAAACUAAGUGCCAGAGAAAGGAGCAGGAGGAAUUUGAUGGCUAUCUUUCCAGCCAUUUGUUUUCUUGUCCAUUUAUUCCCAGUCGUUUCCUUUAGCGCUGCCUGGGAGUGCAGUGCUUGACACCCUGUAAAAAUAUUCCUAUUUUUGGUGCAAUUCGCAUUUCCCAGGAUGCUCAGUAUGAUAACAGGGAUCUGUCCUACCUCUUCCUCAAUAUGUACCAAACAUGUUUUGGUGUGGUUUUUAGUUCAUACAUUUCUUAACUGCACUUAAAUGCACUGGCAGCAAUCAGCUCUCCCAAACUUUGCAGUCUAUUCUCUCAUUUUCUCCGUAUUUUUUUGAAAUGCCAAAUGAAAGCACUUGUUUUGCUUCACAAUGCAUUUCUGUGCAUGGUGCACCUUAUAGCAAGAUACACAGCUGCAAAGAAUCUCCCUCCUCUGUGUGAUCUACAGCAUUAGGUCCUCCUAAAGCUACAUCUACUUCCUUGGUGAGGGCACAGCAGCCUCCCAGCCAUGUGGCACGGGGGUUCCUGCACUCCUUCCCCUACACCAGCCCAGGGAGCAGCAUCAAGCCAGGGCAAACUCUCUCUCCCUAUGGAUUUGUGGCAGGAGGAUGCACUGUCCUUGCAUGCCAAAAGGGUCCAAGUGUGGGUCUGCCCAGAGAGCAGCACUCAGGAAGGCCAGGAAAGUCAUCUGUCAGUCACCACCUCAUCUGGAAGAAGUCCUACCUGCCUACAGGCAGGUCACAAAGAAAGAAGCAAAGGAAAGAAAAUUGCUGAAUUAAGUCUUCCACUCUGAUGUUUUCCCCAGUCCCUUCCUUUGCUUCUUGUUGCUGUAGCCAAAAUGUCACCAUCCAAGCUGUGGGUACAGCGAAUAUGGGAAGAGCAAAAGACAAUCCUCAAAGAGGAGAUGGGUGAGCACCCCAUGGCCCUGCAGUGCAGACAGGGGCUGCUUCGAGGCCUCUGCCUUUCAAGACAGUCUGAUAGGGUAAAGGUCCUCAUGUCCCCCAUCAGAACUCAUCUUGCACUAACCAAGGAAAACACACAUAAUUAAAUUAAGGCACUUUGUUUUCGUAUCAUCAGUGCAAUUUAUAAAGAUACCAGUGUGACAGUUUCUAGGCACAGAUACAGCCUUCAUAUUUUUCCUGGAUGCAGCACAUUGUUUUAUCAGCCAGAAAGCUGAGCUAGAGAGACUCUUCAGCACAAAGCAAUGCUCCAGGCCAUCUUCCUUAGUAAGGAGAAGGGGUGUUAUCUGCCCUUAAAUUGUAUUUCUACCUAAUUAAAUUCAACAAGAUGCCUUCUUUAACCAAAACCAGUCACAUGGAAAUAUUUGGAGCAGGGAAUGAUGAUAUCUGAUAUAAAAGUUCACACCAGCUGUCAUGCCUUUCAAAGACGAUAAAACAUUCAGGAAAGCCAUAAGCUGGACUAUUACAUUUUGAAUAUGUAUUUCCUGCAUCCAGAGUCUCCAGUUGUGAUGGGGCCACAUUUUUAGCUCACUUUUGGUGUAGACAACUUUGUGAGUGCAAUUACACACUGACAUGAAGUAAUGCUUAAGUUCAGAGUAGGAAGUAUCUCUGCUGCCAAUUGGAGAAUAUUGUGACCCUCACAAGACAUUGCAGUGGUAGCAGAGUUGGCUGACAAGGAUCUCCAUAACUGCAUCCUUGAUAGCAGAAGGGGUUCUUCCCUUCUCACACUUUUCCCAAUAAUACUGAGCACUGUCUUGUUCUGAUCCCUAUGCUCCCCAGUGCCUUUUUCUCCCUUUACCAGAGAAGACAUGAAAUGAAGAAAAAAAAGCCAGCAGUAACAGCAUCCUGACCAGUUUAAGAUCAUAUCUGCAGCUGCAGGAGUGGGAUGUCCAUCACGCGGGGUAGAAAGUGGAGGAAGAAGGCAGAUAAAAUCCCAUGUGGUGCAAGCAUAGAACAUGUCUGAGGGAGGAGGCCCAGGUAGAAAAAAACAUGUGAAUCAAUGAGACCCACAACAGUUAUCUUAAAGCCUCUUCUCCAGAGCUGUGGUCCCCUAAGAGUAAGGAGAGUUCAGUGGUAUCUUACAUUAACAGUUCAGGAUGUACACCCAGAGUUUCCUGAGCUUCCUACACUAUGUGAAACAUCAGUUGCACCAAAUUCAGUUCAGAGCAGCCAAGUUUGGAGGCAAAAAUGGUGAAGAAAUAGACAAGGGUGUUCUAGCUCCCAGUGACCUGGAAGAAGGUGGUUGCUGCUGGCUGAGUUGUCAGACCUGUACCACAAGGAGAGUGUCAAGCACAUUCUACAGCAUGCACAUGGGAAGGUUGCUUUAGACAUAUAAAAACAGCAUCUCCAAGGCCAGUAAAGUACCUGUAAAGAAGGAGGAGUGGCACCACACUGAUGCCACCACACUGACUUUCUCCUUCAGGACAUCCUCAUGCUGCAGGUCAAGUUAGCACCAGGCAGAUGCCUCUGGAGUCUAUCCUUCUCUGGGAGAAGGCAAAUCUUCCUCCCAGUGAUGCGGGGAGUGAGCUGCCCCCUUGCCUUCAAAAAGAGAAACAUCCAUUUUGCUGUGAGGCAGAGGCUUGGGCUUCAUAUGGUGCCUGCAGGCAGCUGUCAGCUGGCAUGCUGAGUCUGAGCCUGCACUGGCAGGAGAAAUGGCCCUGAAUGAAGUCAAAAUUAUCGCUGAUGCAAUUCGUAAAUUACUCUCUUUGAUGUUUAACAAAACUGAACAUGUUGUAAAUUAAAUGAAUAUUUGUUCAGGGGUUCAUAAGAUUCAGUCAUUGUCAGUUACAGAUUACAGCAAUAACCCACAGAAAGUACAGAACAAAUGAGAUUUGGCUAUCGUUUUUAUAGGGGCAUACUGCCAUGCCCUUGCUUACAAUUAAAUAGUGACUAACUUUAAAAGUAUAAUGUUCUUUUAUUAGCAAAAAGGUCCUUUGGAGUGGAGGUGUUGCAAUCAGCCUGGUCUAGAUAUUUAUUGAAUGCAGAAUUAUUUAAUGUACUUGAGAAACAGGCAGCUAGGAAUUUCUUUUGCUGGUUGUCAUUUGGGCCAGUCAGGGUUAAUGUUAUUGGUUGCACUGGGACUGAGCCUCUGCCAGAUGUCCUAUCUACAUGACGUUAAGAAAAGAAUGGGCAGAGAGUGUUGAGACAACCAAUUCUUUCAUAAAGUUAAACUGGAUGAUCCCAAUAAAUGUAUUUUACUUAAUUCACAGCCUCCUACACUCACUCGUCAGAGGAUGCUGUGAUACCCUUUUGUUGUGGGAGUGCAUUGCACAAAAUCUAAUAAUUUCUGAGCUGAGAAACAAAUAAAAAUAAUUCGGGUACACAUUUUAUGUGUGGUGUUUUCUUGGUCUUAUGAAGUGAUGUAGGCAUAUUGUUCAUGCAACCAUAGACACUUAAAAAGUAAGAUCAGGCUGAAAAAUCUACAGGCUAGAAAUGGAAGAGAGUAACAAAGUAUUCAUCUUUGACCACUUUGUCUUUUUGUUACUGACCCACUGAAAUCCAGUGGGUUACCUCAGGCAAAAAGAACCCCCUAAAAGCAAAGUCCCAAUGAUGUCAGAUCAAGUUUAUAUUGAAAAAAAGCAGAGCGUUCAACUUUCCUCUCAGAGUUCAACAUCACAGGUAUGCAAUCACCCAUCUGCUUCCUGAACUAGCUCUUAGCUAAGAAAACAAGAGCCGUGAAGGGAGCUUUAUCAAAGACUGCAGGAGGACUAUGGGGCAUUAUGUGUCAAACAGUAAAUAUUUGUCUCAGUAUAACAAUAUGUAUUUUGGCUUACAGGGGCAAAAGAGAGUAUUAGAGUAGUGACCAAGGCUCACAGUCUUGAUGGGAAAUAAAAUUUCACCUGCAAACUGGCUUGGCUGUAGGCCAGAGAAGACUAAGAAAAAAUGCUAGAGGGAAACAUUUUCAUUCCCCUUCUGAAACCAAAGCAACCUCUGGUACUUCAGAUAAGUUCUGGUACACCCACCCAAGUUAGGAGACACUCAGCAAUUUUAACAGCUGUGACCCUGAGCCUCCCUGGGAAAGCAUUCUGUCUGCUUCAGCCAUGAGUCCAGAGACAUUAACUUGGGGAUAAAGUUCACGUUUUCCAGGCUGACUGGCUGGACUCCUAUUCAGCUGACUCAGAACUGAGGAAAAGGAGAUCAGAUACUUGAACAUCUGCUUGAACCUCUGCAGACCUAUUCAUGGGCUUUCACUGAAAUAGUUUUGGAAAACAUAACCACUUUAUGGCAUUCUGUAUGAAAAUAAUACAAAUGAGACAUUUGUUUUGUUAUAAAAACAGAUUGCAUUAGGAAAGGAAAGGUAGAAAAGCUGUCUAUACCUCUUGUGCUUUACAUAUAGGCACACAGGGUGGGACUUUGGCUUAAGACUGUUGUCUCCUCCCUGCAUAUUCUCUCUAGUGCCUGUAUUGAUCCAGGGUUAAUGAAGACUUAUUUCCAUCCAAUGAAAUUGGAACCUCUUGCAUUAAGACCCAUAUCUGACAGCCUUAUAAAAAUACUGCAUAGACCAUGCUCACCUAAUGUCUCCAUCCUAAAAAGCUCCCAUUUGUGGAAUUUAAAUUUCAUUAGGAAAUCAAUACAUCCUCAUUUACCCUUAAUUUUAGAGAAAAAGUUGUGUGAGAUAUUCAGUUUUGGGAUUUUUUAAUUCAUUUUAUUGGGAUCUUAAUUGAACAUAUCACUUACAAACCCCAUCCAUCAUAUCAUCAUCAAAGUAUUCAUUUGUUCUUCUCUAACUGGGAUCAAAUUUUAAAUGAGGAAUUUAUACCCAUGUAAAGAUAAACUCUUAAGCUCUGCAUUUGAUUUUUCUCUGUUUCCAAGGAACUGAAAAUGUGUUUCAUCUUUUUCUGCUUCCUGCAGAUAAUUUGAUACAGAGUAUUUUAGAACAUUUCUUUUGUAUUUACAUUUUGGCAUGAGUAUAUUGCAUUGUUACAUUGUUCACAGCCUUACUAUUGUCACUGCCAACUUCUUUUGGGAAAAAUCAAAGAAAAGCUGAGACAAGAUAUAUCAUGCCACAA
Molecule: long non-coding RNA, 20609 nt
Organism: Passer domesticus (house sparrow)
Lineage: Eukaryota; Metazoa; Chordata; Aves; Passeriformes; Passeridae
Exons: 11
Source: RefSeq, a predicted model, not a curated record